Molecule: unclassified non-coding RNA, 250 nt
Filed under: Hevea brasiliensis (rubber tree)
Lineage: Eukaryota; Viridiplantae; Streptophyta; Magnoliopsida; Malpighiales; Euphorbiaceae
Source: RNAcentral
AAAUAGGAAUAUUGUGGAAAUGUUUUUUUUCUUUUUUUGGCUUUUGUCCACGGAGGAAACAGGCUAUUGCUUAUUGAGAGAGGCCUUAGCCUCAGAUAGAGAAAGGGUAUAGCCUAUGAAGAAGGGACUAUUAUUCAUUAUAGUUGAAGACACCUUUCUGUGGUGUAUAAAGUAGCUAAAAAAAUAAAUAUAUUGAGUUGUUUUUAGAGAAAAAUGAGAGUGUCUGACUAAUAUAUUUAUUAUGAGCAGU